Molecule: ribosomal RNA, 470 nt
Filed under: uncultured organism
Description: partial 16S ribosomal RNA
Rfam family: Bacterial small subunit ribosomal RNA
Source: RNAcentral
ACUCCUACGGGAGGCAGCAGUGGGGAAUUUUGGACAAUGGGCGAAAGCCUGAUCCAGCAAUGCCGCGUGAGUGAAGAAGGCCUUCGGGUUGUAAAGCUCUUUUGUCAGGGAAGAAACGGUGAAAGCUAAUAUCUUUUGCUAAUGACGGUACCUGAAGAAUAAGCACCGGCUAACUACGUGCCAGCAGCCGCGGUAAUACGUAGGGUGCAAGCGUUAAUCGGAAUUACUGGGCGUAAAGCGUGCGCAGGCGGUUUUGUAAGUCUGAUGUGAAAUCCCCGGGCUCAACCUGGGAAUUGCAUUGGAGACUGAAAGGCUAGAAUCUGGCAGAGGGGGGUAGAAUUCCACGUGUAGCAGUGAAAUGCGUAGAUAUGUGGAGGAACACCGAUGGCGAAGGCAGCCCCCUGGGUCAAGAUUGACGCUCAUGCACGAAAGCGUGGGGAGCAAACAGGAUUAGAUACCCCGGUAGUCCC